AGAAAUCACCAAAUGACUGGCCCUUUCACUUGGCAGCAUCAACUCACCAUUCAGCCGCUGACCCCCAGUGACAGACUUCCGGGAGACUGGAAGGUAGUGGUGUCCACCAUGCUGGGAGGAGGACAGCGCUAAGUGACGGCACCCGACUCUGUGUGUGUGUGUCCUGACGUCCACCGCUGGUGCUGAAGUGAGGGUCUGAGGUGGGCAGCACAGGGCCAGAAGACAGCACCUGACUCUGUGUGUGUGUGUCCUGACGUUCACCGCUGGUGCUGAAGUGAGGGUCUGAGGUGGGCAGCACAGGGCCAGAAGACAGCACCCGACUCUGUGUGUGUGUGUCCUGACGUCCACCGCUGGUGCUGAAGUGAGGGUCUGAGGUGGGCAGCACAGGGCCAGAAGACAGCACCCGACUCUGUGUGUGUGUGUCCUGAUGUUCACCGCUGGUGCUGGUGCUGAAGUGAGGGUCUGAGACACUUGCUGUGCUCAGCACUCACUGUCCUUGCUCCUUGGUGCAUCCUUCCCUUCACCUACUUGCUUGGUCCCUGAGUAGCGGUGAGGAAGACUUGCUACCCCCUCGGCUGCAAGGCCGGGCAGCAGCCUGAGUGGCCAGGAGCAGCAGAGCAGACUGCCACUGGUGUGAGGAUCAGGGGCGAUCAGAAGAAUCACCACCACCACCACCCUGC
Molecule: long non-coding RNA, 680 nt
Organism: Eriocheir sinensis (Chinese mitten crab)
Lineage: Eukaryota; Metazoa; Arthropoda; Malacostraca; Decapoda; Varunidae
Exons: 3
Source: RefSeq, a predicted model, not a curated record